GACGAACGCUGGCGGCGUGCCUAAUACAUGCAAGUAGAACGCACAGUUUAUACCGUAGCUUGCUACACCAUAGACUGUGAGUUGCGAACGGGUGAGUAACGCGUAGGUAACCUGCCUGGUAGCGGGGGAUAACUAUUGGAAACGAUAGCUAAUACCGCAUAAUAUUGAUUAUUGCAUGAUAAUUGAUUGAAAGAUGCUAUUGCAUCACUACCAGAUGGACCUGCGUUGUAUUAGCUAGUAGGUGAGGUAACGGCUCACCUAGGCGACGAUACAUAGCCGACCUGAGAGGGUGAUCGGCCACACUGGGACUGAGACACGGCUCAGACUCCUACGGGAGGCAGCAGUAGGGAAUCUUCGGCAAUGGACGAAAGUCUGACCGAGCAACGCCGCGUGAGUGAAGAAGGGUUUCGGAUCGUAAAGCUCUGUUGUAAGAGAAGAACGGGUGUGAGAGUGGAAAGUUCACACUGUGACGGUAUCUUACCAGAAAGGGACGGCUAACUACGUG
Molecule: ribosomal RNA, 505 nt
Filed under: uncultured bacterium
Lineage: Bacteria
Description: partial 16S ribosomal RNA
Rfam family: Bacterial small subunit ribosomal RNA
Source: RNAcentral